This 456-nucleotide ribosomal RNA is filed under the name uncultured bacterium. RNAcentral describes it as "partial 16S ribosomal RNA". It matches the Rfam family "Bacterial small subunit ribosomal RNA", at positions 339 to 795 of the family's 1533-position model. The record is from RNAcentral.
CUACGGGGGGCUGCAGUAGGGAAUAUUGCGCAAUGGGGGAAACCCUGACGCAGCAACGCCACGUGUGGGAUGACGCAUUUAGGUGUGUAAACCACUGUCGACAGGGAAUAAACGUCUCUUAUGAGAAAUUGAAGGUACCUGUAAUAGGAAGCACCGGCUAACUUCGUGCCAGCAGCCGCGGUAAUACGAGGGGUGCAAGCGUUGUUCGGAAUUACUGGGCGUAAAGGGAGCGUAGGCGGACGAUUAAGUCAGUUGUUUAAUUUCAGGGCCCAACCCUGAAUCCGCAAUUGAAACUGGUUGUCUUGAAUGUAUCAGAGGCAGACAGAAUUUCUGGUGUAGCGGUGGAAUGCGUAGAUAUCAGGAGGAAUACCUGUGGUGAAGACGGUCUGCUGGGAUAACAUUGACGCUGAGGCUCGAAAGUGUGGGUAGCGAACAGGAUUAGAUACCCGUGUAGUC